AUGUUUUUGACAUUUCAAUGAGAGUGAGCGAGAUGACUAGAUCAAGAUCUCACUCACUCUCAUUAAAAUGUCAAAAAC
This 78-nucleotide microRNA precursor is filed under the name Phlebotomus papatasi. The record is from RNAcentral. Lineage: Eukaryota; Metazoa; Arthropoda; Insecta; Diptera; Psychodidae.